Molecule: ribosomal RNA, 253 nt
Filed under: uncultured bacterium
Lineage: Bacteria
Description: partial 16S ribosomal RNA
Rfam family: Bacterial small subunit ribosomal RNA
Source: RNAcentral
UACAGAGGUCUCAAGCGUUGUUCGGAUUCAUUGGGCGUAAAGGGUGCGUAGGCGGCUUGGCAAGUCGGAUGUGAAAGCCCACGGCUCAACCAUGGAAGUGCAUCCGAAACUGCUGAGCUUGAGUACUUAAGAGGAUCGCGGAAUUCCCGGUGUAGAGGUGAAAUUCGUAGAUAUCGGGAGGAACACCAGUGGCGAAGGCGGCGAUCUGGGAAGAUACUGACGCUGAGGUGCGAAAGCGUGGGGAGCAAACAGG